This 301-nucleotide ribosomal RNA is filed under the name uncultured bacterium. Its description in RNAcentral is "partial 16S ribosomal RNA". It matches the Rfam family "Bacterial small subunit ribosomal RNA", at positions 509 to 807 of the family's 1533-position model. The record is from RNAcentral.
CAGCAGCCGCGGGAAUACGUAGGGUGCGAGCGUUAAUCGGAAUUACUGGGCGUAAAGCGUGCGCAGGCGGUUAUAUAAGACAGAUGUGAAAUCCCCGGGCUCAACCUGGGACCUGCAUUUGUGACUGUAUAGCUAGAGUACGGUAGAGGGGGAUGGAAUUCCGCGUGUAGCAGUGUAAUGCGUAGAUAUGCGGAGGAACACCGAUGGCGAAGGCAAUCCCCUGGACCUGUACUGACACUCAUGCACGAAAGCGUGGGGAGCAAACAGGAUUAGAUACCCCUGUAGUCCCUGUCUCUUAUAC